This 1298-nucleotide ribosomal RNA is filed under the name metagenome. RNAcentral's name for it is "bacterial LSU rRNA". It matches the Rfam family "Bacterial large subunit ribosomal RNA", at positions 1635 to 2925 of the family's 2925-position model. The record is from RNAcentral.
CCAACGACCGUACCGCAAACCGACACUGGUGCGCGAGAUGAGUAUUCUAAGGCGCUUGAGAGAACUCAGGAGAAGGAACUCGGCAAAUUGACACCGUAACUUCGGAAGAAGGUGUGCCCUAUUAGUGUGAAGUGAACAACGGAGCAUGAAUGGGUUGCAAAAAAUCGGUGGCUGCGACUGUUUAUUAAAAACUCAGCACUCUGCAAACACGAAAGUGGACGUAUAGGGUGUGACGCCUGCCCGGUGCUGGAAGAUUAAAUGAUGGGGUGCAAGCUCUUGAUUGAAGUCCCAGUAAACGGCGGCCGUAACAAUAACGGUCCUAAGGUAGCGAAAUUCCUUGUCGGGUAAGUUCCGACCUGCACGAAUGGCGUAACGAUGGCCACACUGUCUCCUCCUGAGACUCAGCGAAGUUGAAAUGUUUGUGAUGAUGCAAUCUCCCCGCGGAAAGACGGAAAGACCCCAUGAACCUUUACUGUAGCUUUGUAUUGGACUUUGAACAGAUCUGUGUAGGAUAGGUGGGAGGCUUUGAAGCAGGGUCGCUAGAUCUUGUGGAGCCAACGUUGAAAUACCACCCUGGUGUGUUUGAGGUUCUAACCUAGGUCCAUUAUCUGGAUCGGGGACAGUGCAUGGUAGGCAGUUUGACUGGGGCGGUCUCCUCCCAAAGCGUAACGGAGGAGUUCGAAGGUACGCUAGUUACGGUCGGACAUCGUGACGAUAGUGCAAUGGCAUAAGCGUGCUUAACUGCGAGACUGACAAGUCGAGCAGAUGCGAAAGCAGGACAUAGUGAUCCGGUGGUUCUGUAUGGAAGGGCCAUCGCUCAACGGAUAAAAGGUACUCUGGGGAUAACAGGCUGAUACCGCCCAAGAGUUCAUAUCGACGGCGGUGUUUGGCACCUCGAUGUCGGCUCAUCUCAUCCUGGGGCUGUAGCCGGUCCCAAGGGUAUGGCUGUUCGCCAUUUAAAGAGGUACGUGAGCUGGGUUUAAAACGUCGUGAGACAGUUUGGUCCCUAUCUUCCGUGGGCGCUGCAGAUUUGAGGAAGCCUGCUCCUAGUACGAGAGGACCGGAGUGGACACACCUCUGGUGUAUCGGUUGUCACGCCAGUGGCAUUGCCGAGUAGCUAAGUGUGGAAGAGAUAACCGCUGAAAGCAUCUAAGCGGGAAACUCGUUUCAAGAUGAGAUCUGCCGGGGCCUUGAGCCCCCUGAAGAGUCGUUCAAGACCAGGACGUUGAUAGGUCAGGUGUGGAAGCGCAGUAAUGCGUUAAGCUAACUGAUACUAAUUGCUCGUGCGGCUUGACCUA